Pygocentrus nattereri (red-bellied piranha) is the source of this 234-nucleotide long non-coding RNA. The record is from Ensembl. Lineage: Eukaryota; Metazoa; Chordata; Actinopteri; Characiformes; Serrasalmidae.
GCUUAGACGCCGCAAAAAAACCCGAAAAAAUCGAGUCUGUUUUCCGUGAGAGUUCAAUGGGUUUAUUUAAAAGAAUCGGCUCAAAUGAACGAUUCGUUCGCGAGUCGUACGUCGCUACAGCAGCAGCAGCGGCGGCGGAACACAGCUGGGGGAAGGAGGAGGCCAGGCUGGAGCCCAACGACUCGCUGCGGGGGAAUGGACAGCGUUUGAUCCGGAGAGGGUUUUCUGCAAACC